AUGCAAAAGAGGAGAACAGAAAACACAAUGUGCACAAAGGUUUACUGCUCAACAAUAGCAGCAUUCGCAGAAAAAUUCAGACAUGCAGGGAUUGUACAAAAUCUAAAUUAGGCAAUUGUCUGUAAAUGUUUUAUGGUUGGUCCUAAUAUUAGCCAAACAAAAACAAUAAUAAGAAUGAUCAAUUUAAUGAAAUUUGUGGUGAUUCAACAUAAUUUCACUUCGCAUGAA
This 228-nucleotide unclassified non-coding RNA is filed under the name Hevea brasiliensis (rubber tree). Lineage: Eukaryota; Viridiplantae; Streptophyta; Magnoliopsida; Malpighiales; Euphorbiaceae. The record is from RNAcentral.